AUACGUAGGGGGCAAGCGUUAUCCGGAAUUAUUGGGCGUAAAGAGUACGUAGGCGGUUACUUAAGCGUGGGGUGAAAGGCUAUGGCUUAACCAUAGUAAGCCUUGCGAACUGGGUAACUUGAGUGCAGGAGAGGAAAGCGGAAUUCCUAGUGUAGCGGUGAAAUGCGUAGAUAUUAGGAAGAACACCAGUGGCGAAGGCGGCCUGCUGGACGACAACUGACGCUGAGGCGCGAAAGCGUGGGGAGC
This 246-nucleotide ribosomal RNA is filed under the name uncultured bacterium. Its description in RNAcentral is "partial 16S ribosomal RNA". It matches the Rfam family "Bacterial small subunit ribosomal RNA", at positions 523 to 769 of the family's 1533-position model. The record is from RNAcentral.